CAGUUCAGGGUUUAAAACCCUAAUGCUGAUUGCAUGGAAAAGCUCAGUUUAGGGUUUAAAACCCUAAUGCUGGCUGAAUGGAAAAAAGUUCAGUUUUGGGUUUAAAACCCUAAUGCUGAUUAAAUGGAAAAGCUCAGUUCAGGGUUUAAAACCCUAAUGCUGAUUAAAUGGAAAAGCUCAGUUUAGGGUUUAAAACCCUAAUGCUGGCUGAAUGGGAAAAAGUUCAGUUUAGGGUUUAAAACCCUAAUGCUGACUAAAGGAAAAAUUCAGUUUAGGGUUUAAAACCCUAAUGCUGACUGCAUGGAAAAGCUCAGUUUAGGGUUUAAAACCCUAAUGCUGGCUGAAUGGAAAAAGUUCAGUUUAGGGUUUAAAACCCUAAUGCUGACUAAAGGAAAAAUUCAGAUUAGGGUUUAAAACCUAAUGCUGAUUGCAUAGAAAAGCUCAGUUUAGGGUUUAAAACCCUAAUGCUGGCUGAAUGAAAAAUUCAGUUUAGGGUUUAAAACCCUAAUGCUGACUAAAGGGAAAAUUCAGUUUAGGGUUUAAAACCUUAAUGCUGACUGGCUAGGGACAAAAUUCGAGAACAACAGCUGACCUCUUUUUUUGAAUUUUCUUGUUUUAGUAGAAGAUAAAAGGGAGUUUCGUGGAAACUUACCUUUCGAGUGAAUUCCUUAUUGCCGAAAUGUUUCUUGUACCCAUGUACCUUCUUCUUUGGGCGACGCCUGCUUCUUGCACGGUUGUCUUGGAUUAAACCUGUUUCAACUUUUCAGACAAAGAACAAUUGUUAGUUCGGAAAUGACGGUCCGUUUGGUGACAUUGAUCAUUCCCGAUUGCUUUGUUUCGUCUUCAUUUCUGUUGCGAAGUCCCGCCAUUGAUUUGAUUCAUAUGUCGAAACCCUUUAGACUGCUCAGGCUUGCAUUUCCAGAUUCUGUGA
Molecule: long non-coding RNA, 931 nt
Filed under: Nicotiana tabacum (common tobacco)
Lineage: Eukaryota; Viridiplantae; Streptophyta; Magnoliopsida; Solanales; Solanaceae
Description: long non-coding RNA (NTAB_LNC007941)
Source: RNAcentral